This 1500-nucleotide ribosomal RNA is filed under the name uncultured bacterium. RNAcentral describes it as "bacterial SSU rRNA". It matches the Rfam family "Bacterial small subunit ribosomal RNA". The record is from RNAcentral.
AGAGUUUGAUCCUGGCUCAGAUUGAACGCUGGCGGCAUGCCUUACACAUGCAAGUCGAACGGCAGCACGGGAGCAAUCCUGGUGGCGAGUGGCGAACGGGUGAGUAAUAUAUCGGAACGUGCCCAGUCGUGGGGGACAACGCAGCGAAAGCUGUGCUAAUACCGCAUACGAUCUAUGGAUGAAAGCGGGGGAUCGCAAGACCUCGCGCGAUUGGAGCGGCCGAUAUCAGAUUAGCUAGUUGGUGGGGUAAAAGCCCACCAAGGCGACGAUCUGUAGCUGGUCUGAGAGGACGACCAGCCACACUGGAACUGAGACACGGUCCAGACUCCUACGGGAGGCAGCAGUGGGGAAUUUUGGACAAUGGGCGCAAGCCUGAUCCAGCAAUGCCGCGUGCAGGAUGAAGGCCUUCGGGUUGUAAACUGCUUUUGUACGGAACGAAACGGUCCUUUCUAAUACAGAGGGCUAAUGACGGUACCGUAAGAAUAAGCACCGGCUAACUACGUGCCAGCAGCCGCGGUAAUACGUAGGGUGCGAGCGUUAAUCGGAAUUACUGGGCGUAAAGCGUGCGCAGGCGGUUAUGUAAGACAGAUGUGAAAUCCCCGGCUCAACCUGGGACCUGCAUUUGUGACUGCAUAGCUAGAGUACGGUAGAGGGGGGAUGGAAUUCCGCGUGUAGCAGUGAAAUGCGUAGAUAUGCGGAGGAACACCGAUGGCGAAGGCAAUCCCCUGGACCUGUACUGACGCUCAUGCACGAAAGCGUGGGGAGCAAACAAGGAUUAGAUACCCUGGUAGUCCACGCCCUAAACGAUGUCAACUGGUUGUUGGGUCUUCACUGACUCAGUAACGAAGCUAGCGCGUGAAGCUGACCGCCUGGGGAGUACGGCCGCAAGGUUGAAACUCAAAGGAAUUGACGGGGACCCGCACAAGCGGUGGAUGAUGUGGUUUAAUUCGAUGCAACGCGAAAAACCUUACCCACCUUUGACAUGUACGGAAUUCGCCAGAGAUGGCUUAGUGCUCGAAAGAGAGCCGUAACACAGGUGCUGCAUGGCUGUCGCCAGCUCGUGUCGUGAGAUGUUGGGUUAAGUCCCGCAACGAGCGCAACCCUUGUCAUUAGUUGCUACAUUCAGUUGGGCACUCUAAUGAGACUGCCGGUGACAAACCGGAGGAAGGUGGGGAUGACGUCAAGUCCUCAUGGCCCUUAUAGGUGGGGCUACAUACGUCAUACAAUGGCUGGUACAGAGGGUUGCCAACCCGCGAGGGGGAGCUAAUCCCAUAAAGCCAGUCGUAGUCCGGAUCGCAGUCUGCAGCUCGACUGCGUGAAGUCGGAAUCGCUAGUAAUCGCGGAUCAGAAUGUCGCGGUGAAUACGUUCCCGGGUCUUGUACACACCGCCCGUCACACCAUGGGAGCGGGUUCUGCCAGAAGUAGUUAGCCUAACCGCAAGGAGGGCGAUUACCACGGCAGGGUUCGUGACUGGGGUGAAGUCGUAACAAGGUAGCCGUA